UUUCUUCUCCUUAGACCAGAGGUUCUCAAUCCUGGCUGCACAUUGGUAUCACCCAGGUAGCUUUUAGGGAUAGGAAGUCAUCUUUGUAGCCUAACAGGAGCGGGGAUGGAGCUCAGCUGAGGUGGAUGGGUACUCUGUUGGAAUAUGCGGCCUUCAUAUACUAUACUACAGCUCACUCUGUCUAUUUGUGCCAGAGGGUGCCCUGUUUUUCGAGUAUUCCCCCAACCACCAAAGAAAAGUUAGCCAACAGUCAACUCUUCAGCCACAUUCAACUGCAAAGGAUACAGCAUGUGCAACAAGAAUAUCACAUUCAAAUGCAAGCAUGCAUCUGAUCAGCCU
Molecule: long non-coding RNA, 339 nt
Filed under: Mustela putorius furo (domestic ferret)
Lineage: Eukaryota; Metazoa; Chordata; Mammalia; Carnivora; Mustelidae
Description: lncRNA (ENSMPUG00000031942.1)
Source: RNAcentral